GACUCUUAGUUGGUCACCGAGCCUCAGUUCGAACGCAUCGUUUUACUGUCGUCUCUGAGAAAUGCUUAAAGUUCUUGAUUUUAUUUAUAUUAUCUGUUUCUUGGUAGUCUGUGACGUAUGACAUGGGCAAGAAUGAAAAUUAAUUUUGAAGGAGCAUCUAGGUGUAUAUUUUGCUUCUCCUGAUUUGUUGUUGUAACGUCAAUUCUUUUUGUUAUUCAACUGUUGUUUCUGCUUUUGCUUUUGGCGUUCCUAUGGAAGUGGCAGUUGGUCACGUCUCGCCAUGCUUGAUUGGCUCACGGACAAGGUGCUGGACAUUCAAGGCACCACACUUUUAGAAUAAACCUCAAGAGGCUAAAUGGUCGUCCAAGGUUGGCCAACAACAUUUGGAGAGCGAGUUGAUAGUUAAGUGGUGGUGUUAAGAGAAGAAUGGCCACUUUGUGGCAGCCAUUCGAGUUGUCUCCUGUCUUUCUCGACUCCACAUCAUGGCCAUCAGUUGGAGGAUCCAGGGCCACUUCCUCGAUGAGAGUUGAAGAAAACAUACUUUGCUGAAGUAUAGUCCCAAGUCUGGAGGCCGUUGUGCAGGUGUACACAGCUACACACCGAAUUUCUGAAGAUAAAAUGCACCUGGAUCGUUUGAUGGUUUAGUAAAAUCGCAAUAGACGUUUACGAUUUUGUUGCUUUCCAUGAUGGAAAACAAUCCGCUUUUCUUGUGGCCAAUUUGCUGGAGGUCGCCGCAUGAGCCGGGCAUUCUGCCGAUGGAUGAGGCGGCCGUACUCACUGCCAAAUAGUUUUUAUGGUUAGUUGAAGACCUGUUAAUCAACUCAUUUUAGUUGAGUUGACAUUUGGACAACUUCUUUCACUUUCGACCUGCUCAGAACUUUGUCUUUUAUCCAUGGAAGGAGAUGAUCUAUACCCGUGUCAAGGUGACUGUGAAAAAUGAACUGAUUACAAAUUCAAAUCUCGUGUAAAGUCACAAAGUCUCUGUAGAAUCUAGAAGAAAACCGAAAGUGGCGAUUCUCCAAGUAUGGACUUGAGUGAACCAGUUCAGUUCAUCCGAGUUCAUCUGGUACGAAGCUGAUGCUAUCAACGUUGUUGAAGACGACAAGAAGUUGGUCGAUGGCUUCCUCACAGCACAUGUGAGGCCCAGUGGUUGGCUCUAGUGGCCGUCGUUAUUGAGGUUCGUUUUUGUUUUAAUUGUUCUUUAAUGAAAUUUGAUUUGUCUCAAGAGCAGGUUGAGAAAGGUCCAGCAUUUGGUUUGCGUCGAGGAGAAAUUAUACGUCAGGAUGAACUUUUCUAAUAAAUUGACGCUGACAAUUCCGAGCUGCCCGGCGCCAUUCUGCAGAGACAGACGUCAUCCGCCAGCAGUUUGCCUAUCAACUGCGGCGACAGCAGCGAACACGAAUGGCCCGACAGCAUUAAACAAUUCCAGUUUCCUUUUAUUAAUUAUACUUUCGUUUUAAUUGUCGACUCUGUUUCUAUUUUUCAGCUUCUUCGCCCGUCCCGACCCAACCGAUGGAAGGGGAGAAUCCAUCGCUGGAACAACCAGACCAGCAACAAACAACGGAGCUGUUGCAGACGAGCCGGAGCUAUUCGAGUCUGAACGGAAUCGUUAUGAAAUGAUCAACGUCGAAAGUGAGGAAGAGCGCCAUCCAGCAGCAGACGCAAACGCUCAAGGCUAGCGAGGUGGUCCCCAGCCAAUAGCCGGGCAAGAAAUCUCGCCACGUCCUGAAAGAAGGGUUGGAUUAUUUAAAAAUCUCAAACUGGACGGAUUUGAUUUGCGGGGGUCGGGGCAAUUUAAAUCACAGGCUGAAGUCACCUGUGUUGAUGAUUUCCAAAUUAGGUUUUAAACGACAGUCAUAUUUUUUCAGAUGAUGCUAGUGUAAUCGACAUUCCAAUCGGCCCCUCCUUCUUAUACCCUCCUGUUUACACAUAAUCAAAUGCAUUUUUCUUUUUUUUUUUUAAAAUCUGAUUAUUAUUUUUGAGAGAAUUUGACUUGGGGCAGAGUUGACUGUGUACUUGUGCAGCCUUCCCCUCAUGACCCGUCAGACGAAAAGAAAUGAAAACAAGAAAUUCUAUUGAUGAUGAUUUCCAUUGUUUCUGUACACACAUUUGACUUCCCACUAUUUGCUUUUGCAACCCCAUUCAACGACGAUAAGAACCGCGCCGUUGCUUUUUUUCUUUUGCGUGUUCAUUCUGUUUAAUUUCGUGUUUCCUUUCCCGUCAACAACGAAAAAUAUCUCCGUCCUUUUUGCGACGUCCCACAUUCCAUCACACACACACCAGAUUUUAAAAGAAAAGUCACAAAAAAAUAUUUGACCGUGUGCGCGUAGUGAGUAUUUGUGUGCAUCAUGUAGCCCAUCCCAGCAGAAAA
Daphnia pulex (common water flea) is the source of this 2371-nucleotide long non-coding RNA. RefSeq lists it as uncharacterized. NCBI's taxonomy places the organism in Eukaryota, Metazoa, Arthropoda, Branchiopoda, Diplostraca, Daphniidae. The record is from RefSeq and is a predicted model, not a curated record. The transcript is spliced from 7 exons.